GACUCCUACGGGAGGCAGCAGUGGGGAAUAUUGGUCAAUGGGCGAAAGCCUGAACCAGCCAUGCCGCGUGAGUGAUGAAGGCCUUAGGGUUGUAAAGCUCUUUCGACGGGGAAGAUAAUGACGGUACCCGUAGAAGAAGCCCCGGCUAACUUCGUGCCAGCAGCCGCGGUAAUA
This 174-nucleotide ribosomal RNA is filed under the name uncultured bacterium. RNAcentral describes it as "partial 16S ribosomal RNA". It matches the Rfam family "Bacterial small subunit ribosomal RNA", at positions 334 to 525 of the family's 1533-position model. The record is from RNAcentral.